CUACUCUAUUUAAUUGGAAGCGCUUCUAGAAGGCGCAACCAACAGAAGCCGAUAAUUUUAUCGUAGCUAGACAAUCGCUUGAAGAUAGAAAAGGAUGAAGCUUUCAAGGUCCGCAAUUUUGUUUAUAUCACUGGUGCUCUUCGCAGUCCUUUUCUGCAAGGUAGACUGCAAUUAUGGGUACAUUCGGUUUGGUCGUGACUUCAAGAGGCGUCCACUCAGCAAAGUUAGGGCUAUAGCACGGACAGGAGCUAGAGGAAGUGUGAGAUUGAGGAGCCAAGAACAAGACACAAGAAAUGCUGCUGCAUACGGGUAUGGAACACAGGAGGAACAGGCGUUCCAGUUGAAUCAGUGGUGAACAAAACCUGAUCAGCAGUUUAUGCUUGUCAAUUGUUUCGAAGAGGACAGAUGUGAUGAGUUUGGCUACUGAAAUGAAGAAGACAAUUUAUUUGUAUUGAGUUGAUUCUCUAAAUAAAUGCGCAAUUGUGUGAUUGAGCCAA
This is a long non-coding RNA of Stylophora pistillata, 497 nucleotides long. RefSeq lists it as uncharacterized. NCBI's taxonomy places the organism in Eukaryota, Metazoa, Cnidaria, Anthozoa, Scleractinia, Pocilloporidae. The record is from RefSeq and is a predicted model, not a curated record.